GGGGAUUUAGCUCAGUGGUAGAGCGCUUGCCUAGCAAGUGCAAGGCCCUGGGUUCAGUCCCAGCUCCG
Molecule: non-coding RNA, 68 nt
Organism: Rattus norvegicus (Norway rat)
Lineage: Eukaryota; Metazoa; Chordata; Mammalia; Rodentia; Muridae
Source: Rfam